AACGAACGCUGGCGGCAUGCCUAACACAUGCAAGUCGAACGAGACCUUCGGGUCUAGUGGCGCACGGGUGCGUAACGCGUGGGAACCUGCCCUUAGGUUCGGAAUAACUCCCCGAAAGGGGUGCUAAUACCGGAUAAUGUCUUCGGACCAAAGAUUUAUCGCCUUUGGAUGGGCCCGCGUUGGAUUAGCUAGUUGAUAGGGUAAAAGCCUACCAAGGCGACGAUCCAUAGCUGGUCUGAGAGGAUGAUCAGCCACACUGGGACUGAGACACGGCCCAGACUCCUACGGGAGGCAGCAGUGGGGAAUAUUGGACAAUGGGCGAAAGCCUGAUCCAGCAAUGCCGCGUGAGCGAUGAAGGCCUUAGGGUUGUAAAGCUCUUUUACCCGGGAUGAUAAUGACAGUACCGGGAGAAUAAGCUCCGGCUAACUCCGUG
RNAcentral lists this ribosomal RNA (433 nucleotides) under uncultured bacterium. RNAcentral's name for it is "partial 16S ribosomal RNA". It matches the Rfam family "Bacterial small subunit ribosomal RNA", at positions 29 to 507 of the family's 1533-position model. The record is from RNAcentral.